Long non-coding RNA from Triticum aestivum (bread wheat), 961 nucleotides. RefSeq lists it as uncharacterized. The record is from RefSeq and is a predicted model, not a curated record. NCBI's taxonomy places the organism in Eukaryota, Viridiplantae, Streptophyta, Magnoliopsida, Poales, Poaceae. The transcript is spliced from 2 exons.
CCCAGCUCGUUCCUCUCCUCGUCUUCUCUGCUAUCCCAAGAACAGAACUAGCCACCCACCUCUCUCUCUCUCCCCAAGAACAGAGCAUGGCCGCCGCCGCCUCGAUCUGCCCUGUCCGGGCAUCUCCGGCGACACGGUGGACACCUACAGAUUCUCCUCGUCUCCCUCUACCAUUUCCCCUAUUUAUUUUAUCCGCUGCCGCCAAAAACGUCGCCACCACUCAAUCCUAGCGCCGCCUGAUUCAGGUCCGGUGGGCUUGCCACCGGCUGCAGCGGCAACGACGUCUCCAUGCCUACAUCCUCCCCCAACGCAGCCACACGCACGAGGCGUGCAGCCACGGGCGUCGGGCGUGUGCGGCUUCACCGGCGCUGCUCGGUCGCAUGGCUCUGCUGCUAACGGUGUGGACUAGCCACAUCCUACUGCUACUACUGCAAGAUAAAUAGAUCAAGGUGAAUAGAUGCUCAUGGACUGAUUCAAACCGAGGUGAAGAUAGACAAGAAGUCAAGCAAGAAGGGCUAACACAACAAGGUACUCUAUUAGUACCUGAUGGCGCAUGCGACCCAAAGGGCUUCACCACAGUGAAGGACAGCAGUGUGGCAGAAGGUGAAAAGGCAAGUGGUGGUGGUACUCCAGUGUAUGUGUGUGUGUGAGGUGGAAUGGACCACAGUGAAAGGAAUGGCUCCUAUUUAUAGUGGGGUUAGUAGCUAUGUCGGUUUGGAGAGGCAUUACAUCUGCAUGCAUGCGUGGUUAGGCUUGCAUGCAUGCCUCCACUUGUGUCUCUUGUAGGCUGUACUAGGGACAAGUGUAAUUUGCUUGACUGGCCAUUAGUUGGCAUUUACUUUAUGUGGAAAAAAAAAUGAGACCAAGAUCUGAUUAUAAAUUUGUAUAAUACAUGGAGGUUCGGAAAAUAUUUUGUUGUGCAUGGUCAAAUGCUAUUUGCUAUAAUAAAAGUUAAAUGUCA